CGCUGGCGGCGUGCUUAACACAUGCAAGUCGAACGGAAAGGCCCUGCUUUUGUGGGGUGCUCGAGUGGCGAACGGGUGAGUAACACGUGAGUAACCUGCCCUUGACUUUGGGAUAACUUCAGGAAACUGGGGCUAAUACCGGAUAGGAGCUCCUGCUGCAUGGUGGGGGUUGGAAAGUUUCGGCGGUUGGGGAUGGACUCGCGGCUUAUCAGCUUGUUGGUGGGGUAGUGGCUUACCAAGGCUUUGACGGGUAGCCGGCCUGAGAGGGUGACCGGCCACAUUGGGACUGAGAUACGGCCCAGACUCCUACGGGAGGCAGCAGUGGGGAAUAUUGCACAAUGGGCGGAAGCCUGAUGCAGCAACGCCGCGUGCGGGAUGACGGCCUUCGGGUUGUAAACCGCUUUCGCCUGUGACGAAGCGUGAGUGACGGUAAUGGGUAAAGAAGCACCGGCUAACUACGUGCCAGCAGCCGCGGUGAUACGUAGGGUGCGAGCGUUGUCCGGAUUUAUUGGGCGUAAAGGGCUCGUAGGUGGUUGAUCGCGUCGGAAGUGUAAUCUUGGGGCUUAACCCUGAGCGUGCUUUCGAUACGGGUUGACUUGAGGAAGGUAGGGGAGAAUGGAAUUCCUGGUGGAGCGGUGGAAUGCGCAGAUAUCAGGAGGAACACCAGUGGCGAAGGCGAUUCUCUGGGCCUUUCCUGACGCUGAGGAGCGAAAGCGUGGGGAGCGAACAGGCUUAGAUACCCUGGUAGUCCACGCUGUAAACGGUGGGUACUAGGUGUGGGGUCCAUUCCACGGGUUCCGUGCCGUAGCUAACGCUUUAAGUACCCCGCCUGGGGAGUACGGCCGCAAGGCUAAAACUCAAAGGAAUUGACGGGGCCCCGCACAAGCGGCGGAGCAUGCGGAUUAAUUCGAUGCAACGCGUAGAACCUUACCUGGGUUUGACAUGGAUCGGGAGUGCUCAGAGAUGGGUGUGCCUCUUUUGGGGUCGGUUCACAGGUGGUGCAUGGCUGUCGUCAGCUCGUGUCGUGAGAUGUUGGGUUAAGUCCCGCAACGAGCGCAACCCUUGUUCACUGUUGCCAGCACGUUAUGGUGGGGACUCAGUGGAGACCGCCGGGGUCAACUCGGAGGAAGGUGGGGAUGACGUCAAGUCAUCAUGCCCCUUAUGUCCAGGGCUUCACGCAUGCUACAAUGGCUGGUACAGAGAGUGGCGAGCCUGUGAGGGUGAGCGAAUCUCGGAAAGCCGGUCUCAGUUCGGAUUGGGGUCUGCAACUCGACCUCAUGAAGUCGGAGUCGCUAGUAAUCGCAGAUCAGCAACGCUGCGGUGAAUACGUUCCCGGGGCUUGUACACACCGCCCGUCAAGUCAUGAAAGUUGGUAACACCCGAAGCCGGAGGCCUAACCGUUGUGGGGGAGCCGUCGAAGGUGGGACUGGA
This 1431-nucleotide ribosomal RNA is filed under the name uncultured organism. RNAcentral describes it as "partial small subunit ribosomal RNA". It matches the Rfam family "Bacterial small subunit ribosomal RNA". The record is from RNAcentral.